CUUUCUGUCUAUACUGCUUCAGGCUGUGAACUUGUCAGAUUUCAUAACUUAAGUAGGGUCAGUCUAGGUUAAUACUUAGAUGGGUAACUCCAAGGAAAUCCACUUGCAGCAGGAAUU
RNAcentral lists this ribosomal RNA (117 nucleotides) under Crocodylus porosus (Australian saltwater crocodile). Lineage: Eukaryota; Metazoa; Chordata; Crocodylia; Crocodylidae. The record is from RNAcentral.